GAAAACUGCUCUCUGACUUUUCUGCCUGUGACUCCUAGGAGUCGACUCAUACUUCUCCGGAGUCGACUCAUACUUCUCCGGAGUCGACUCGAAUUCCACUGGAGUCGACUCGAAGACUGUUCUUUUGAAUUUUUCUUUUGAUUUUACUCCUCCAAUUUGAAUCCUUUGAACUUUAAACUUUGAGCCAAUAAAUUGUAGCUUUCUUCCAACUUGAGAGCUUUGGAGGCCUUCUUGUGUUCUUCCAAC
Molecule: long non-coding RNA, 246 nt
Filed under: Phoenix dactylifera (date palm)
Lineage: Eukaryota; Viridiplantae; Streptophyta; Magnoliopsida; Arecales; Arecaceae
Description: long non-coding RNA (PDAC_LNC009036)
Source: RNAcentral